Molecule: ribosomal RNA, 789 nt
Filed under: Thecaria quassiicola
Lineage: Eukaryota; Fungi; Ascomycota; Lecanoromycetes; Ostropales; Graphidaceae
Description: SSU rRNA
Rfam family: Bacterial small subunit ribosomal RNA
Source: RNAcentral
AACGGGUAAKAUGUGAUGUACCUAAUAGUAUUAGUGAUUAAUAUGAAAUUAACUAAGUUAAUUAAAAUUCGAAGUAGAUAAAUGAUUAUGACAAUAUUUGCUUAUUUCUUGACCAAGUCACGUGCCAGCAGUCGCGGCAAUACGUGGAAGAUCAGUGUUAUUCAUCUUUAGUAGGUUUAAAGGGUACCUAGACGGUUAAUUAAGCAUAUUUGUGUACUAAUUAUUAACUAGAGUUUAAUGUAAGAAGGAUUGAGUACGGUGAGUGUAGAGAUAAAAUUCUGUCAUACCACUUAGGAACUGGUAAAGGCGAAGGCAACCUUUUAUGUGAAAACUGACGUUAAGGGACGAAGGCUCGUAUUAAGUAAUAGGAUUAGAGACCCUAGUAUUGUGGGCAGACAAUGAUGAGUGUCAUAUGCAAGAAAUAUUUUGUGUAUAAAUGAAAGUGUAAGCACUCCACCUCAAGAGUAACGUGGCAACAUGGGAACUGAAAUCAUUAGACCGUUUCUGAAACUCGUAGUGAAGUAUGUUGUUUAAUUUGAUGAUCCACAAAUAACCUUACCACAAUUUGAAUUACUAGCGAUUUUACUUGGAACAUUUAUUAGUUGUUUCUUUUACUAAUAGUUUAGCUUUUCUAUUCGUAUUUUAUCGAUAGCUACUAAAUGUUUAAAAGUAAUUUUUUAGUAACAAGUGUUGCACGGCUGUCUUCAGUCAAUGUUGUGAAACUUUGGUUAGAUCCAUUAAAUUGACGUAAACCCUUGCUUUAUUUAAAAUAAAGCAGUUCGCCGCUAU